Molecule: ribosomal RNA, 468 nt
Filed under: uncultured bacterium
Lineage: Bacteria
Description: partial 16S ribosomal RNA
Rfam family: Bacterial small subunit ribosomal RNA
Source: RNAcentral
GACGAACGCUGGCGGCGUGCUUAACACAUGCAAGUCGAACGGAAAGGCCCUGCUUUUGUGUGGUGCUCGAGUGGCGAACGGGUGAGUAACACGUGAGUAACCUGCCCUUGACUUUGGGAUAACUUCAGGAAACUGGGGCUAAUACCGGAUAGGAGCUCCUGCUGCAUGGUGGGGGUCGGAAAGUUUCGGCGGUUGGGGAUGGACUCGCGGCUUAUCAGCUUGUUGGUGGGGUAGUGGCUUACCAAGGCUUUGACGGGUAGCCGGCCUGAGAGGGUGACCGGCCACAUUGGGACUGAGAUACGGCCCAGACUCCUACGGGAGGCAGCAGUGGGGAAUAUUGCACAAUGGGCGGAAGCCUGAUGCAGCAACGCCGCGUGCGGGAUGACGGCCUUCGGGUUGUAAACCGCUUUCGCCUGUGACGAAGCGUGAGUGACGGUAAUGGGUAAAGAAGCACCGGCUAACUACGUG